GGGUUGUGAGGUUAAGCGACUAAGCGUACACGGUGGAUGCCCUGGCAGUCAGAGGCGAUGAAGGACGUGCUAAUCUGCGAUAAGCGUCGGUGAGGUGAUAUGAACCGUUAUAACCGGCGAUUUCCGAAUGGGGAAACCCAGUGUGUUUCGACACACUAUCAUUAACUGAAUCCAUAGGUUAAUGAGGCGAACCGGGGGAACUGAAACAUCUAAGUACCCCGAGGAAAAGAAAUCAACCGAGAUUCCCCCAGUAGCGGCGAGCGAACGGGGAGGAGCCCAGAGCCUGAAUCAGUGUGUGUGUUAGUGGAAGCGUCUGGAAAGGCGUGCGAUACAGGGUGACAGCCCCGUACACAAAAAUGCACAUACUGUGAGCUCGAUGAGUAGGGCGGGACACGUGGUAUCCUGUCUGAAUAUGGGGGGACCAUCCUCCAAGGCUAAAUACUCCUGACUGACCGAUAGUGAACCAGUACCGUGAGGGAAAGGCGAAAAGAACCCCGGCGAGGGGAGUGAAAAAGAACCUGAAACCGUGUACGUACAAGCAGUGGGAGCCUCUUAAUGGGGUGACUGCGUACCUUUUGUAUAAUGGGUCAGCGACUUAUAUUCUGUAGCAAGGUUAACCGAAUAGGGGAGCCGAAGGGAAACCGAGUCUUAACUGGGCGUUAAGUUGCAGGGUAUAGACCCGAAACCCGGUGAUCUAGCCAUGGGCAGGUUGAAGGUUGGGUAACACUAACUGGAGGACCGAACCGACUAAUGUUGAAAAAUUAGCGGAUGACUUGUGGCUGGGGGUGAAAGGCCAAUCAAACCGGGAGAUAGCUGGUUCUCCCCGAAAGCUAUUUAGGUAGCGCCUCGUGAAUUCAUCUCCGGGGGUAGAGCACUGUUUCGGCAAGGGGGUCAUCCCGACUUACCAACCCGAUGCAAACUGCGAAUACCGGAGAAUGUUAUCACGGGAGACACACGGCGGGUGCUAACGUCCGUCGUGAAGAGGGAAACAACCCAGACCGCCAGCUAAGGUCCCAAAGUCAUGGUUAAGUGGGAAACGAUGUGGGAAGGCCCAGACAGCCAGGAUGUUGGCUUAGAAGCAGCCAUCAUUUAAAGAAAGCGUAAUAGCUCACUGGUCGAGUCGGCCUGCGCGGAAGAUGUAACGGGGCUAAACCAUGCACCGAAGCUGCGGCAGCGACGCUUAUGCGUUGUUGGGUAGGGGAGCGUUCUGUAAGCCUGUGAAGGUGGCCUGUGAGGGUUGCUGGAGGUAUCAGAAGUGCGAAUGCUGACAUAAGUAACGAUAAAGCGGGUGAAAAGCCCGCUCGCCGGAAGACCAAGGGUUCCUGUCCAACGUUAAUCGGGGCAGGGUGAGUCGACCCCUAAGGCGAGGCCGAAAGGCGUAGUCGAUGGGAAACAGGUUAAUAUUCCUGUACUUGGUGUUACUGCGAAGGGGGGACGGAGAAGGCUAUGUUGGCCGGGCGACGGUUGUCCCGGUUUAAGCGUGUAGGCUGGUUUUCCAGGCAAAUCCGGAAAAUCAAGGCUGAGGCGUGAUGACGAGGCACUACGGUGCUGAAGCGACAAAUGCCCUGCUUCCAGGAAAAGCCUCUAAGCAUCAGGUAACAUCAAAUCGUACCCCAAACCGACACAGGUGGUCAGGUAGAGAAUACCAAGGCGCUUGAGAGAACUCGGGUGAAGGAACUAGGCAAAAUGGUGCCGUAACUUCGGGAGAAGGCACGCUGAUAUGUAGGUGAAGCGACUUGCUCGUGGAGCUGAAAUCAGUCGAAGAUACCAGCUGGCUGCAACUGUUUAUUAAAAACACAGCACUGUGCAAACACGAAAGUGGACGUAUACGGUGUGACGCCUGCCCGGUGCCGGAAGGUUAAUUGAUGGGGUUAGCGGUAACGCGAAGCUCUUGAUCGAAGCCCCGGUAAACGGCGGCCGUAACUAUAACGGUCCUAAGGUAGCGAAAUUCCUUGUCGGGUAAGUUCCGACCUGCACGAAUGGCGUAAUGAUGGCCAGGCUGUCUCCACCCGAGACUCAGUGAAAUUGAACUCGCUGUGAAGAUGCAGUGUACCCGCGGCAAGACGGAAAGACCCCGUGAACCUUUACUAUAGCUUGACACUGAACAUUGAGCCUUGAUGUGUAGGAUAGGUGGGAGGCUUUGAAGUGUGGACGCCAGUCUGCAUGGAGCCGACCUUGAAAUACCACCCUUUAAUGUUUGAUGUUCUAACGUGGGCCCCUUACCGGGGUUGCGGACAGUGUCUGGUGGGUAGUUUGACUGGGGCGGUCUCCUCCUAAAGAGUAACGGAGGAGCACGAAGGUUGGCUAAUCCUGGUCGGACAUCAGGAGGUUAGUGCAAUGGCAUAAGCCAGCUUGACUGCGAGCGUGACGGCGCGAGCAGGUGCGAAAGCAGGUCA
This 2396-nucleotide ribosomal RNA is filed under the name Escherichia coli. RNAcentral describes it as "bacterial LSU rRNA". It matches the Rfam family "Bacterial large subunit ribosomal RNA", at positions 1 to 2412 of the family's 2925-position model. Lineage: Bacteria; Pseudomonadati; Pseudomonadota; Gammaproteobacteria; Enterobacterales; Enterobacteriaceae. The record is from RNAcentral.